CAAAAGGGGGGUUAGUUACGAUCCAAAACACAUGACCUAUCAGCCAUCAAAACUUUGACAAACUUCUGCACGGCCUGGUAUGGAAACACCAAUGCCCUUGAACUGAACAAAAGUAGUGGGUACAGCCCAGUCCAUCACAGCACACAAAACGCUGGGGGGAAUAAAGAAUCGACGUUUCCUACCGCGACCCUGCUUUACGACUGGAAAGGAAAGGGAGGGACUCUGAUAGGAGAGGAGAGUGGAUCCACAAGAAGAAAUAAGAGAAAAUAGGGUGUUAUCAUCAUCAGGCUUAACCAAGGUAGGCAAUUGUGUGUCGUCAGCAUAACUGUGGAAAUCUCGUUUAUGCUCUCUAAUGACGUCUCCUAGGGUGAACGUGUAUAAGGAGAAGCUUAAAGGACCAAGAGAGCUUCCCUGAGCAACCCCAAAAGGUACAUUGUACAUCGAACAUGGACAUUAGUGAGAAGUUCACUGAAGGAUAACGGGGAAGCAUGGCAGUUGCUGAUGUUGGCAAGCAGAGCUUUUGUAAAGGGAAGCAGUAGAAGCUGGGUGGCGAGGAGUUUAGCUUGAAGGGGAUCAAGGAAACAGACAUCAAUGUUAUCAUCUUCACCCAUGUUUUCAAAUACCUCAAGGGCCAAAGGGAAGGUUGGGCCUGUUGAGAAAGAUGGUCAGCACAGCAGCCGAUUUUGAGAUGAACAAAGUAUUGAAGAAUUCAACACCUGCAGUGUUACAGGAAGCUGAGAAUACUUGUAUUUUGGUAGUGCUUUUUCCAGGACCGAUAAAGAAGUAAAAGUAGUGGGAGGGGAUAUAGUUACCAAGAAGUCAAAUUUAUGAUUAGGGACUGGAACCGUGUAACUGUCGGAGUGUCAGUACAGUAAGUGGGAAAAUCUCUUGAGAGGACAAGUUAUACUUGUGUAACAAUAAAAAAUUUUCAUGAUCACUUUUUUUCCUGCUUACAGGCUACUGGACUAAAUCAAUUUUCAGUGUCAUGGUGCAAUUUGAAUGUGCAUGGUUGGACUAUUGUAAAAGAAGUUUGUCCACUGAUAGCAGUUAUUUAUUUAGAAAAUAAGCUGAACCAUUUGCAGAAAACUCCUUAUGGUGGUCUGCCACACUUGAUCAUUCUGGGAAUCUCUGCAGUGGCAGAUCCAGAUUUGUUGGAACAGAAUCAAAUCCAUUUUUAAACCACUUUAUUCUAGAGUAUUGCAAUACUGACAGAAGCCAUCUUAUCUCAUGCUUCUGACAAGAUACAAUGAUAGAUAAACAUAAAAGCACAGAAAUAAAAACAGACCAAGAGAGCAAGUGUUGAACCAUGUGUGGGAACAAAAGUCUCAGAGGACCUAAUUUGGUUAACCACACUGUUGGAAGAAAUUACUUAAUUUUUUUUUGCAAAAGCUUUUUAUGAAGUACACUGACGUUACUGAAAGUUGUGCUGGCAUCUUUGAAACAAGGUGGUAACUAGGGAAAAGGUAGAUCCACUCAUAGACAAAGGAGCCAGUACUUGGAGCCAAAGGAAAUGGGCUAAGUCAUUAAUGAGAACUUCACACUGAUGUUCAUCAUAGAGAAGGACAAGGAGAACAGGCAGGGAAUGUUGAUAUAUCUAGGGCGUGGCUGCUGGGCAUCUUAAAAAGCAUUAAAGGGGAUAAUCUACCCAGGGCCUGUUGGGUGGUUCCAAAGGAGAAGAUUCCUGGAGCCUUGACAGAUUAAUUUGUAUCCUCUUUAGUCACUGAUGAAGUAAUUGAUUUUGAAUAACCUGUGUUAUUCCUUUGUUUUAGAGGGCAACAGGGACAAAGCAGGAAGUAAUAGACCAGCGAGCCUUCCAUCUGUGGUGGAGAAAAUACCAGAGAAAAUUCUUGGGGACAGGAGACACUGAUAUUUGAAAAUGCAUAAUCUUAUUAGGGCACAUUGCGCAGGGGAGACCAUGUUCUUUGAGGAAGCGAUGAAGAUGAUUCAUUAGGAUGCUGAAGUAAAACAGAAAAUUCCAGAAACAUUGAGAAGAUCAGACAACACCUAUGGAAUGAGAAACAGAACUAAUGUUUCAUGUCAUGAAUCAGAACCAGAAAAUGCUCGGGAUGGAGCAUACACAACUUGAGGUAAAGUGGACUGUGGGGAGUGAAGGAAAAGGGAGGUCUUCACGGGUGCAAGGCUGGAGUGUUUAAAUAACAAAAUGGAUAAUUAUAAACAUGAAAUCUAGGUCCAGGCAAGCUGAAAAUGGUGGCAAAAUGCCCUUGAGAAUGGGAGCAAUUGUUAAUAUCGAGUUAAAAUAAUGCACUGUUGUAAGAUUGUGAAGAAUGCAUGAAGCUAUACUUUGUAUAACCAAGAUGAAACUGUCCAUUCCAAGAUAAUCACUGAAGAACAUUCCCAAAAUUAUUCUUUAUUGUGAUACAGUAAUGCUACUGAUUGUGAAACAGUUCAUAUAGAUUUUUUAUUUUAAAAACAUAAAAUUUAAUGGAUGCAAAAAUAAAGAUGUUUAGUGCUUAUGUUCCAUGACAUCCCAAGUACAACCACAGUGCUAAUAUUACAUCCUGAAUACAGCCAGUCACAGUGUUCAUUAGUGAAAUCCUGUUUAAAGAUAAAACAUCAAUUAACCUGCAUUUGAACAAAGGAAAACUACAGGAUAAAUUAGACUUGCCAAUAAAAUAUUAAACUUUGAAACAAAAAUCACAUUACUUGCAGUGACCUCAACAGCCCAAAGAUCAUUUAAAAAGGAUUUCAGACAUUUCACAGGUCCUCAGUAUGCAUCUCGUUUCUGCACAAUUAAUACCGAACAUUUAAUGUUGUAAAGGAGCAAUAGAUCCAUCUGCAAACUUGUUCAAAUCCAGAACCCAUUUCUGAUACCAAAGUGCCAAGGGCUCAAUUCCCAAACGUUGAAUUGCCCCGAGCUCACCACAAACCGGGGCCAGUGUGCAGUAUGUAGGCAGACUGGAUCUACAACUGAGAGGCACACUUCCAGGAAACAAGAGCCAUUAGCAUUCUAACAUCUCUCAAUCUCCUGUGCAGCUGUUUCCAGUGUUGUCACCAAAUUUGAUUAAUAUAUGUUGGUAACAAAGGCCUUCAUAAAAUACCAUGCCUUUUUUAAUACACUAUAAUGUUAUCUGUUAAGCAUCUUAUAUGUUUGUUUGUUCAUUGUUCCCCUACCAACACCGCCGGUGAAAGCUUUAUACUCUGUAGUGAGUUUUGUUCUCAUUCUACCCUUCAGACCCAUGUUAUAGAACUUAAAUAUCCAUACUAGAGAGAGCUGACAUUCGUAAAAAUAAUGUAAUUUAACUGUAAUUUAAAUGUUUCUGAACACAUCAUACACCCACUUUACUGCAGUUCUCAAUCAUUCUCUUACCCAGAUGGAUGCCUUAUAUUGCACAAUAUCUUACAGUCUCCCACUCAUUUUAAAUUUCACACAGCUAAAGCUUUUGAUUACCUGCCCAUUUUAUAGGGAAACUUCCCAUUUAAACAAAUUCAAAAAUGCAUUUUUGAGAACUGCUGUAAUAUUGCUGUAUUAAUGAAGAAACCUAAUUACAGAGUUUACAACAUUUUUACUGAAGCUACACUGCUGGCCUUCUCUACCCCAAGAGAAACAAUGCAAGCAGCACAUGCGUGUUACCAUUUCAAAACCUCUCUGUUCCUCUCCAAAGCCCGAUGAGGAAAAAUCAAUGGAAUUAAUAGCCAUCAAAGCUCCUUGAUGUAAUGUGCCACAGGCAAGGGCUUAAAAAGAGAUGGGUGCAUAGCUAGUGGUUUCAGCAAGAAAACAGUAUUGGGUAGUUUUUGGCUUGGCUUGCUAAAGUUGGUGGGAUAUCACAGUGUUCAGUGCUUGAGUCCUUACAACUUGAGUAAGAUCCUAAACGGAGACAUUUGUAUAUCCACAAAAUUGCGUGGGAAAGUAUACUGUGUGGAGAAUGCAAUGAAGCUCUAAGGAUGGAUAUGCGAGUAUGUGUUAUUCAAUUGUCAUUUACUGAAAUAAAACAAGUAAUUUAUUAUACUUUAUGUAUAGGAUGGUUCUGAAUCACUUCAUAACAUUUGAAAGUACAACUUAACCCCAAUUAGUUAAAGCCAACGAUAUCAAAGAAUCCAAAAUGUUUCAGGAUUGUAAUUGGAUGUUUGUAAUCCAAAUUGGAUACGUUUAAUUCAACUGCCACUAACUAAAAUAAUGCAGUAAAAAGUCCAGAUGAAAUAGAAUGCGAAACGAAAAGUUAGGAUAAGACAAAAGAAACUUUGUAUAGAGCAUUACUAGGGCAGCAGACAGACAGAGCCCCACUGCACCAGAGUCCCUGACCCUGGGCAUUACACAAGUGGAAUUUGCAGGUUUUCCCUGUGAUCACAUCAGUUUCCCCCAUGUUCUGGAUUCUGCUUGGUGUAGGUAAAUUGGCAGCUGGACAUUGCUCCUAGUAUUUGGGUGAAUGAUAGAAUCUGGGGUGGGGGGUGGGGGUUAAUGAGAAUGUGGGGACAAGUGGGUGACUGAUGGUGUUAGUGAGCUGAAGAGACAUUUCCCUGCUGUAUCACUAUACAUCUAAAACAUCCCUAAAGUGAACGAUAUACACUGACUGCAAUAGUGAAUUUCUAUCGCACGUUGGUUUUAUUUAAGAUUUUCACAUCCCUCAGUUUUCCUUUGAUCUUGGGCCUUCUAGAAAAAUUUAUGAAAUAGCAUAUUUCUGGUGAAAUAAAAAAAUCUCUUGAUCGACUGGGAAAACAUUAGAUUCAUUACCAAGCCACAAUAUUGUGACAUAACAAUACAUUAGGUGGUUCAGAAUGCAUUAAGUCAACAACUCAGAGGUCUGCAAGCAAACAUGAAACUUGUGUCUUACAAUGCAAUAAGUCACAAAGGUACUUGCAUGUGUACAGUACUGCUGGUAUUAGAGGACAAGUUUUACUUGCGCUGACCUGUAAAGAUGUUAUCAGCACCACGGUCUACCCAUCCUUUUUCACAUGCUAGGGGGUCUUAAAAUUUUCAUUACCUUGUUUAAAAAAUACUUGCGUUAAUCAAGAUUUGCGUAUUAGUCCAAUACAUCUAAGACACCAAAUAUCUUUUUGUCACAAUAUUGAAGCUUCCACAAAAUUUCAUAUGACUGUCCAAUUUGAAUGAAACUUGUUAACCUAAAGGUACCAUUUGAUUCCAAGAUCACUGCUGGUGAGGAAGGCCAUUGGAUCCAUCUUGGGCCAUUCAUCCAGAAUCACCCUCAAAUGUUUAAUGCAGCAUAUACCAGUUUCUUAAACACCUGGACAAUUGUCACCUCUCACUGCUAUUUUCAUUCUGUUCUUCUAUAUGUCACUCUCUUUCAGGCUAGUUCCAAAUCUGCCCUUUACCAGCUUAUUCAAUUUUUACAAGCUUAGGACUGAUCAUUUACAUACAAUGAUUUUUUUUCCCUCUACAUGACUGUUUCUUCAACCUUUCUUCAAUGUUUAGAUCUCCAAUAUCAGUUUUGAUUAAAAGUUAUUAAUCUGUUUUAACACUCUCCACUGCCUGACAACACUUACAGCAUUUCAACACACCUGGUCUCUGCAGAAUCUUGUGUAUAUGAUUUCUAGCAUUUUCUGUUUGACUGCAACAAUAAGUUCAGAUUCAUUGCUCUUUCCCUCACUACCUCCAACACCAAAAUAUCUUGGAGAUGACUGGAAAAACAACUCCUAAGCUAUAGGGGCACAGUAGUCCCUCUGGUUGUAUUGUUUGUCCUUCUACAUUGAUCAGUCAUGUUCAAUGACAACUAAUUUUAAGUAUCUUACUAUGAUGUCAUUCUCCUGAAUGAAAAUGAGGAAAACAGCAUAUCCAGGUCUUAAGCACAGUUAAAAGAUAUCCAAGCUGACCACUAGCUAUACAUGUUCACAUUAGUCAACUGCAACUCAUGCACCUUGUGGUACAAUAUUAAACUGCAACUAUAAUGUCAGACAAGAGCACUUAUGAUCACAAACACAGCAAUUUUCCAAUGCUCAAACCAUUAUAAUGGGAAUGAAUGCACUGUAGGCCUGUUGAGAAUCAGCAACUACAAAUGGUUAUUCACUUUGUAUAUCCAGCCAGGGGAACAGCAAUUUGACCUGUUCUCUUGACUAAUAUCCAGCACAGAGGCAUCCCAUAGUCUCACUCCAUUUCCCCAGUUUGUGAUGCCUACUUUUCCUUCAGCUUACUCCUGAUGAUCCUUGCUGAUGAUCCUCAAUUUGCAGCCUAAGACUGAAAAUCGGUAAUGUGCAGAAUUUGCCUGGCUUUACCAAGUUUUAGCAACACAGAUCUCUGCAGUGGUAAAUUUUACACAACAGUCUGCUACCUUGUAAUUUCCUGUGAAUGACUUCAUGUUGGAAACACCAGACUCUGAUAUGUUUGAAAACCUUGCAGUGUUUAAGGACAAAUACUCCACAAACUUUGAAUCUAAAUUCUAAAAAAUUAGACAAGAAUUCUUUUCUCCUCAAAACAUCAAAUAUUUCACAAAAAUUUCAACAAAAUAUUGCAUACCUCUAAUCUGUAUUGAGGGGCCAUGCUUACUGCUAAUCAAGGAAAGUACUGCAACUUGCCAAAUGCUGAAGAAAUGAAAUGAGCUACAGCUGAAAUUCAACAUCAA
Molecule: long non-coding RNA, 6533 nt
Organism: Hypanus sabinus (Atlantic stingray)
Lineage: Eukaryota; Metazoa; Chordata; Chondrichthyes; Myliobatiformes; Dasyatidae
Exons: 4
Source: RefSeq, a predicted model, not a curated record